GCGGGUAGCGCAGGUCGCUAGACAGCCUUCCAAGCUGACGAUCGGGGUUCGACUCCCCGUAUCCGCUCCA
This 70-nucleotide transfer RNA is filed under the name Pseudomonas guariconensis. RNAcentral describes it as "tRNA-OTHER". It matches the Rfam family "tRNA". From Rfam's summary of the family: Transfer RNA (tRNA) molecules are approximately 80 nucleotides in length. Lineage: Bacteria; Pseudomonadati; Pseudomonadota; Gammaproteobacteria; Pseudomonadales; Pseudomonadaceae. The record is from RNAcentral.